Molecule: ribosomal RNA, 253 nt
Filed under: uncultured bacterium
Lineage: Bacteria
Description: partial 16S ribosomal RNA
Rfam family: Bacterial small subunit ribosomal RNA
Source: RNAcentral
UACGUAGGGUGCAAGCGUUGUUCGGAAUUACUGGGCGUAAAGCGCGUGUAGGCGGCCAGGUAAGUUUGGUGUGAAAUCCCGGGGCUUAACCCCGGAAGUGCAUUGAAUACUGCCUGGCUAGAGGGUGAGAGAGGAAGGUGGAAUUCCUGGUGUAGGGGUGAAAUCCGUAGAUAUCAGGAGGAACAUCGGAAGCGAAGGCGGCCUUCUGGCUCAUUUCUGACGCUGAGACGCGAAAGCGUGGGUAGCAAACAGG